CCUACGGGAGGCAGCAGUGAGGAAUAUUGGUCAAUGGGCGGGAGCCUGAACCAGCCAAGUCGCGUGAGGGAAGACGGUCCUAUGGAUUGUAAACCUCUUUAGGCGGGGAGCAAUGCCGGGCACGCGUGCCCGGAGGGAGAGUACCCGCAGAAUAAGCAUCGGCUAACACGGUGCAAGCAGCCGCGGUAAUACGGGGGAUGCGAGCGUUAUCCGGAUUGAUUGGGUUAAAAGGGAGCGUAGGCGGAUUUUUAAGUCAGCGGUAAAAUGUCCGGGCUCAAACCGGGCCGGCUGUUGAAACUGGGGAUCUUGAGUGGGCGAGAAGUAUGCGGAAUGCGGGGUGUAGCGGUGAAAUGCAUAGAUAUCACGCAGAACUCCGAUUGCGAAGGCAGCAUACCGGCGCCCAACUGACGCUGAGGCACGAAAGCGUGGGGAUCGAACAGGAUUAGAUACCCCUGUAGUC
RNAcentral lists this ribosomal RNA (460 nucleotides) under uncultured bacterium. RNAcentral's name for it is "partial 16S ribosomal RNA". It matches the Rfam family "Bacterial small subunit ribosomal RNA", at positions 338 to 795 of the family's 1533-position model. The record is from RNAcentral.